This 245-nucleotide ribosomal RNA is filed under the name uncultured archaeon. RNAcentral describes it as "partial 16S ribosomal RNA". It matches the Rfam family "Archaeal small subunit ribosomal RNA", at positions 474 to 718 of the family's 1478-position model. The record is from RNAcentral.
CCCCAGCGCCACAAGUGGCAGUCUCGUUUAUUGGGCCUAAAGCGUCCGUAGCUGAUCAAGUAAAUCUCUUGUGAAAUUGUUGGGCUUAACCUAACAGCGGGCAGGAGAGACUGCUUGACUAGGGACCGGGAGGAGUCAGAGGUAUGCUAGGGGGAGCGGUAAAAUGUUAUAAUCCCUAGUAGACCACCUGUGGCGAAGGCGUCUGACUAGAACGGGUCCGACAGUGAGGGACGAAAGCCAGGGGA